RNA transcript from Branchiostoma floridae (Florida lancelet), 1381 nucleotides. RefSeq lists it as uncharacterized. The transcript is spliced from 2 exons. The record is from RefSeq and is a predicted model, not a curated record. NCBI's taxonomy places the organism in Eukaryota, Metazoa, Chordata, Leptocardii, Amphioxiformes, Branchiostomatidae.
GCCGGGCGGGUUUUGUGUCCGAGGAGCACGCAGUGUUGCAGCCUAGACUCCGGAUUACCAGUGGGAGGAAGACAACUUCGGAGGUUCGGCUGUGCAGCAAGUAACGGCGGGGCGAGGGAUCCAGAAGCUCCGGCGGACCUUGGGCAGACCCUCUCCACGCAUCGAAAGGACGGAAGAGCCCUAGUGUUCUACCUAGUGGGGUCAAAUUUCAGGACGGUGGAUAUACGGCAGGUUUGGGUGGAAAAUGCGGUAACAUACGUUGUGGUAUUUGUCGAAUUCUGCUUUUCUGGGAACAAUGGUUUGUGUGCCGUUUUGUUCACGUGUUGUUUUGCAUAUCUUUGGUGUCGAGCUUUCGCCUGGUUUGCACGUGCUUGAUUUGCAUUUGUUUGCUUUUAGUUGACUGGGUAUUUUGUCGAUAAGCACACAGGGAGGCAGCAUAGACUCCAGUUUGACGGAGGAAGACAAUUUCUGAGGUUCAGCUGUGCAGCAAGUAACGGCGGGGCGAUGGAGCCAGAAGCUCCGGCAGACCUUGGGCAGACCAUCUCCACGUAGCGAAAGGACGGACGAGUCCCACAUAGUGGGGGGAAAACUUCAGGAUGGCUGAGAUAUGGCAGGUUUGGGUGGAAAAUGCGGUAACCUCAGCCCGGAUUCCAGCUCUCCCAGGCCGAGGAAGGCGACUACCACAGCGCGACUGAGAUGCAGCAAGCUCUGACAGACUUUUGGCGGCCUCUUCACAUAUUGAAAGGGCGGAAGAGUCCUACCUGGCGGGUCGAAACGUCGGAUGUUAAAGAUACGGCAGGUUUGGGGCGAAAAUGCGGUAACAAACGUUUGUGUUUUUUGUCCAAUUAUGUUUUCCUGGGAACAAUGGUUUGGGGUGGUUGAUGUGUACACGUGUUGUUUUGCAUAUCUUUGGUGUCGGGCUUUCGCUCGGUUCGCUCGUGCUUGAUUUGUAUUUGCUUUGUCUUUAGUUGAUACUUGUGUUCUAAACGUGUUGUUUUCUUAGCAGAUCAGCCCGGUUUCCAGCUCUCCUGUGCCGAGGAAGGUGACUACCACAUCGCGACCGAGGUGCAGCAAGCUGCGACAGAGCGUUGGAGCCAGCAAGCCGAGCAUUCUCAACACAUACGGCAGUUCUUCGCGGCAUCGACACUAGACGACAGCCGUCAUGGAGCGCACGGCUUUGGUUUUUUCAGGGAGGCGUGCACGUUUUUGGUGACAUCGAUUUGAGGCGGGAUUCCCCUCAGAUAUUUUGUCUUUAUGUCUGUUGUUGCUGUUUUGAAGUGUUUGGUUUCCCUCUAAUUAGGGAUAUUUUCUUUUACCGUUGUUGUUUGUAAAGUUUUGCUUGUGUUGACACAGUGACGGCGACACAGACCUGGACUAUUAA